This 7011-nucleotide long non-coding RNA is filed under the name Gossypium barbadense (sea-island cotton). RNAcentral describes it as "long non-coding RNA (GBAR_LNC021645)". Lineage: Eukaryota; Viridiplantae; Streptophyta; Magnoliopsida; Malvales; Malvaceae. The record is from RNAcentral.
GAUGAACUUGCAACACCAUGUUCACACCGAGCCUUUGACAUCCCAUGUAAGUUUUCCUGUGAAACAUAAAUUACAGCAAGACCAAGAUGGAGAGUUCAAGUUAUCAAAAUAUCCUUCGUGAUGAGCACAUAAAUUUAAUUAUCAAAGCCAGAGAAUAUAGUUUAAAUCAUGAUACGGGGUUGCGCGCGGACCAAGAUCGAGUUGCCAAGUCACGGGAAACUCCUACGAAAACCCUAAACAAUUAGAUCUGAAACGAAAACAGAAAAUUAAAAGAUUAGAUUUUUGAAUUUUCAGAUCUGAAAUAAAAUCCCCAAAACAGUAAAGAAUCAAAUAGAGAAUAGAAAUAAGUGUUAGGGUUCUUGAAACCCUCAAGGAGAUUGUGAUUCUGCCCAAUUGAACACCAAUAUAGUUUUCCCCAAAUUUCGACAAUCUAAUUUCACCCAAAAAGAGUAUAGAAAAACCCUAGAAAUUAGGGAUUUUUGGGCUGAUUCCUUAAGAUAGAAAAAGGCUGAAAACACAAUAAGAACAGAAAAUAGAUUAGAUAAUGAUUCAGCACAAGUAGAAAUAAAGAAAGAAUUGACAGUAAGAAAUUAAAAGAUAAGUCCUAAGAAGCCUUGAAAUCUCGAAAGAUCUCACAACUCCUUUCAAACGGCUCUAAUCUCCCCUCCAAAGAAUAUCAAUGGCAAGAAGAAGGUUGAAGAUGGCUCCCACAAUCAAAAAGAUUGUUAAAACAACUUCUAAAGAAAACUCAAGAGAAAAUCAUUGAAGAACUCAAAGAGAAUUUUCACUCAAAUCAAAUCUGAAAUUUUCAAUGUAAUUGUAAUGUAAUGUAGGGUGGCUGGCCAAGCCAUAUAAAUAGGCCUUUCAAAUGUUUUCCUAAUUUAAUUAGAACACUAAAACUAAAACUAAAAAAAACUCCUAAUUAUUUUAAUAUGGAAAUUCGGCCAAGGGUCUUUUAUUUGGGACUCUUGGACUGAAUAUAAAAAUUUAAACUAAAUAAAAUAAAUAAAUAAAUAAAUAAAAAUAAAACUUUACAACUUGGGCCACUUUGACAAUUUGGCCUGAUUUUCAACUAAGUAUGGGUGGAUUUCUUGAUUGGGCUUGGAAUCUUCUUAUUGGGCCUUGCCCUCAAGAAUUUGGGCUUGUGAUCCAUCUCCUACCGAAAUUGAAUCGUUGAUGCUCGUAAUAGAGAUCCAAUGCGCUUUGGCUGCAAGAUUUGGUGUCUUGGACCAAGAUUCCCAAUAUUUGAAAUCUUGAUUUUCCCUUUCUUUUGUGUACGCAUCUAAGGCCUUACUAACAAACUCCUGGAUGGUCCCAUUUAGUUUGGAACGCAUUUGUCGGGCCUUUGAUCUCGUAUCAUUCCCCCCUUCCUCAAAAAGAUUCGACCUUGAAUCUGAAAAAUCAAAUGGGGACAAGUCAGCCAUAUUAAAAGUAGAACUUACAUUGUACUCACCCGGUAGAUCAAUUUUAUAGGCAUUAUCGUUGAUCCUCUCGAGUACUUGGAAAGGCCCAUCGCCCCUUGGGUCCAACUUGGUCUUUCUUCUUGCAGGAAAUCGUUCUUUCCUCAUAUGGACCCAAACCCAAUCUCCGGGUUCUAGGACAACCCGUUUGCGCCCCUUGUUUGCUUUGUUGGUGUUGGCAUCAUAUGUUUUGGCUAUUCGUUGCCUAGCCUGCUCAUGUAAGGAUUUCACCAACUCAGCUUUCUGUUCACCAUCUAAAUUAACAAUGUGUUCAAGUGGUAAUGGCGCAAGAUCAAGUACUGUUAGUGGGUUAAAACCAUAAACAAGUUCAAAUGGAGAAUAACCAGUUGUAGAAUGAAUAGAUCUAUUAUAUGCAAAUUCAACAAACGGUAGGCAUUCUUCCCAAUUUCUAAUGUUCUUUCCCACAACAGAUCGUAAUAAAGUCCCUAAGAUCCGAUUAACUACUUCGGUUUGGCCAUCAGUUUGGGGGUGACAUGUAGUGGAAUAAAGUAAUUUAGUACCAAACUUACCCCACAAUACCUUCCAAAAGUGGCUAAGAAAUUUGACAUCUCUGUCAGAAACAAUUGUUUUAGGGAUGCCAUGAAGUCUUACUACCUCUUUAAAGAAUAAGUCUGCUACAUGUGUAGCAUCAUCUGUUUUGUGACAAGAAAUAAAAUGUGCCAUCUUUGAGAACCUGUCAACAACAACAAAUAUACUAUCUCUUCCUUUCUUAUUUCGAGGCAAACCUAGAAUAAAGUCCAUGGAUAAAUCUACCCAAGGUGAAGUAGGAAUCGGUAAAGGAGUGUAAAGGCCAUGAGGCAUUACCUUAGAUUUUGCUUGUUUGCAUGUAAUGCACUUGGAACAUACCUUUUCGACAUCUUUUUUCAUAUGUGGCCAAUGGAAGUGUUCUUGCAAGAUAUCCAGUGUUUUGGCCACUCCAAAAUGUCCCAUUAAACCUCCACUAUGGGCCUCAUGAAUCAAUAAGUCUCUCAUGGAACACUUUGGUAUGCAUAACCUGUUCAUACAAAAAAGAAAGCCAUCUACAAGAUAAAAUUUAUCGAAAGCAGUAUGUCCAUAAUUCUUAUAGAUAUGGCCGAAAUUAGCAUCAUCAUCAUAUAGUUCCUUAAUAUGUUCGAACCCUAAGACUUUAGCAUUCAAUGUAGUUAUUAAAGUAUAUCGUCUAGACAAAGCAUCUGCAACUACAUUAUCUUUACCUGUUUUAUAUUGUAUCACAUAAGGGAAUGUUUCAAUGAAUUCUACCCAUCGAACAUGUCUUUUACUCAACUUACCUUGUCCCUUUAACCAUUUAAGAGAUUCGUGAUCUGUGUGUAUGACAAACUCAUUAGGCAGCAAAUAAUGUUGCCAUACUUGAAGUGCAUGAACUAAUGCUAAUAGUUCUUUGUCAUAAGUCGAGUAGUUUAACUGUGCACCAUUCAAUUUCUCACUAAAAUAAGCAAUAGGUUGCUUAUCUUGCAUUAAAACAGCGCCAAUUCCAAUUCCUGAAGCAUCACACUCAAGUUCAAAAGUUUUAGCAAAAUCAGGUAAUUUAAGCAAAGAAGCAGAACAUAACUUAGCUUUUAGAGUUUGAAAGGCCUUUUCUUGGGUUUCACCCCAUUUGAAACCCACUGAUUUCUUUAUAACUUCAGUCAAUGGGGCAGCAAUAGUAGAGAAAUCUUUCACAAAUCGUCUAUAAAAACUGGCUAAACCAUGGAAAGAUCUCACCUCAGUUACCGAUUUAAGAGUCGGCCACUCCUUAAUUGCCUUAACUUUGUCCUCGUCGACAUGAAUACCUUGAGCACUAACUAUGAAACCUAAGAAUAUUAGUUUAUCACAACAGAAUGUGCAUUUAUCAAGGUUGGCAAAUAAUCUUUCAGUUCGUAGAAUAUCCAAAACGGUUCGAACAUGGAAAACAUGAUCAUCUAAUGACUUUGAGUAAAUUAAAAUAUCAUCAAAGUAAACUACUACAAAUUUACCCAAAUGUAGCCUCAAAACAUGAUUCAUUAAUCUCAUAAAUGUACUAGGUGCAUUAGUAAGGCCGAAAGGCAUAACUAACCAUUCAUACAAUCCAAAUUUUGUUUUAAAGGCUGUUUUCCAUUCAUCCCCUUCCCUCAUUCGAAUUUGAUGAUAACCGCUUUUUAAAUCAAUUUUUGUAAAUAUUAUUGAAUCAUGUAAUUCAUCAAGCAUAUCAUCAAGUCUAGGGAUUGGGUGUCGAUACUUUACCGUUAUCUUGCUGAUUGGGCGACAAUCAACACACAUACGAAACGUACCAUCUUUCUUUGGCACCAAUAAGACAGGAACAGCACAAGGACUUAGGCUCUCACGAAUGUACCCUUUGUCUAGUAAUUCCUCCACUUGCCUUUGCAAUUCCUUUGUCUCCUCGGGAUUGCAUCUAUAGGCUGGUCGAUUUGGGAUUGAAGCUCCGGGUACUAAGUCAAUUUGAUGUUCUAUCCCUCGUAAAGGUGGUAAACCUUUAGGGGCCUCACUAAAAACAUCCUCAUAAUCCUGCAAAAGAGAUUGAAACACACUAGGCAAAUUUUCGUUAAUGUUAGAUAAAGAUAAAUAAUUUUGCCUAAACCUCACAAGGAUACAAGGCUGUUUAUUAAGUAGGGCUCUCUUCACAUCUUUUUUUGUUGCCAAAAGAUUUUUUCCGCUCAUUUUACCACUAGAGGAUUCACUCACCUUUGGGCUUUUUAAAUUUUAACUUUUUCCACUACUAUUAGCCUCUUUUCUCUCUGUCUUUUGUACUUGCUCUUUCUCCCUUACCCCCUCACAAAAUUUUAUCAUCCUCAAUUGAUCUUUAUAUACAUCAGUAGGAUUUAAAGGAGCAAAAGUGAAUUUCUUGCCUUUAAAUACAAGGGAGUAUCGAUUAAGUUUACCUUGGUGUGUAACAUCGCGAUCAAAUUGCCAAGGUCGUCCAAGGAGCAAGUGUGCCGCAUGCAUGGGGACUACAUCACACCAUAUGUCAUCCUCAUAAUUGCCGAGUUUAAAAGUGACCAAGGACUGUUUCGUAACUUUAACUUCGGAACAUUCAUUAAGCCACUGAAGGUGAUAUGGCUUAGGGUGUUUGGUACAAGGCAACUUUAAAGAAUCCACCAAAUAACUACUCACUACAUUCGAGCAACUCCCACUAUCAAUAAUGAGUGAACAUAAGUUACCUUUAAUAAAACACCGAGAAUGGAAAAUAUUGGUCCUUUGGCUCUCAUCAUCUUUCAUCUGAAUGUUAAGGGUUCGACGAACUACAAGGCAUUGAAAAUUAGCAAAGUCCCCUUCCUUUGGUGGUUCGACCAACUCGUCGCCAUUAUCACUGUCAUCCACAAGUUCUGGCAUAUCUGGAUCUGUAUUAUCAGAGUCGGAAGUGUACUCACCGUUAUCUUUUAGAAGAAGUAAUCUCGUGUUAGGGCAUUCUCUACUGUAAUGACCACGCCCUUUGCACUUAAAGCAUUCAAUCUCACGAGUCCUCUUCGCACUCGAAUCACCUAAAUUGGGCUGCUUAGACGGUGUUUGCGUUUUUGCAGGAGCCCCUUUUUUCCAAUCUGAUUGUUUACUUCCAUUACUCAAAGAAGACUUGUUAGUAACAAAAGGUGGUUUUGAACUCUUAAAAUCAGAAUUGAAAUUGUUACCUCGAUAAUAUUGUUGCUCGAUCUCAAUGGCUUUGUGAACUGCUUCUUCCAAAUCAAUAUAAGUUUGUAGCCUCAAUGUAUUAGCUAUCGGCCUGUUCAAACCAUCAAUGAAUCGAACCAUAGUUGUUUCUUCAUCCUCCUCCAUGUUAGCUCUCUGAAUGAGCAUCUCCAUCUCUUUAAAAUAUUCAUCCACCGUCCUACUACCUUGGAUAAGUCUUCUCAGCUUUGUUUUAAUUUCUCUAUAGUAGUGAGGUGGAAUAAACCUUUUACGCAUAAUCUAUUUCAACUCAUCCCAUGUCGAAAUCUCACCUUCAUAAUUCCGAUGGCGGUUUACCCCAAGUUGAGUCCACCAACUUAAUGCAUAAUCAGAAAAUUCCAGUGUUGCUAACGCUACCUUUUCAUCAUCCGGACAUUUAUAAUACCGAAACAUAAGUUCAAUCUUAGAUUCCCAUUCACAAUAAGCGUCAGGAUCAUUCUUACCACGAAAUUAGGGAAUUGUGAUACGGGGUUGCGCGCGGACCAAGAUCGAGUUGCCAAGUCACGGGAAACUCCUACGAAAACCCUAAACAAUUAGAUCUGAAACGAAAACAGAAAAUUAAAAGAUUAGAUUUUUGAAUUUUCAGAUCUGAAAUAAAAUCCCCAAAACAGUAAAGAAUCAAAUAGAGAAUAGAAAUAAGUGUUAGGAUUCUUGAAACCCUUAAGGAGAUUGUGAUUCUGCCCAAUUGAACACCAAGAUAGUUUUCCCCAAAUUUCGACAAUCUAAUUUCACCUAAAAAGAGUAUAGAAAAACCCUAGAAAUUAGGGAUUUUUGGGCUGAUUCCUUAAGAUAGAAAAAGGCUGAAAACACAAUAAGAACAGAAAAUAGAUUAGAUAAUGAUUCAGCACAAGUAGAAAUAAAGAAAGAAUUGACAGUAAGAAAUUAAAAGAUAAGUCCUAAGAAGCCUUGAAAUCUCGAAAGAUCUCACAACUCCCUUCAAACGGCUCUAAUCUCCCCUCCAAAGAAUAUCAAUGGCAAGAAGAAGGUUGAAGAUGGCUCCCACAAUCAAAAAGAUUGUUAAAACAACUUCUAAAGAAAACUCAAGAGAAAAUCCUUGAAGAACUCAAAGAGAAUUUUCACUCAAAUCAAAUCUGAAAUUUUCAAUGUAAUUGUAAUGUAAUGUAGGGUGGCUGGCCAAGCCAUAUAAAUAGGCCUUUCAAAUGUUUUCCUAAUUUAAUUAGAACACUAAAACUAAAACUAAAAAAAACUCCUAAUUAUUUUAAUAUGGAAAUUCGGCCAAGGGUCUUUUAUUUGGGACUCUUGGACUGAAUAUAAAAAUUUAAACUAAAUAAAAUAAAUAAAUAAAUAAAUAAAAAUAAAACUUUACAACUUGGGCCACUUUGACAAUUUGGCCUGAUUUUCAACUAAGUAUGGGUGGAUUUCUUGAUUGGGCUUGGAAUCUUCUUAUUGGGCCUUGCCCUCAAGAAUUUGGGCUUGUGAUCCAUCUCCUACCGAAAUUGAAUCGUUGAUGCUCGUAAUGGAGAUCCAAUGCGCUUUGGCUGCAAGAUUUGGUGUCUUGGACCAAGAUUCCCAGUAUUUGAAAUCUUGAUUUUCCCUUUCUUUUGUGUACGCAUCUAAGGCCUUACUAACAAACUCCUGGAUGGUCCCAUUUAGUUUGGAACGCAUUUUUCGGGCCUUUGAUCUCGUAUCAAAUCAUUUUGAAGAAGAUUACAAGCAUAAAUGAUGUAUAGAAGAAAAAGGAAGAUUAUGUGUUGGUGAGGAAUGAUGAUUGUAAUAGUUGUUUGCAAGGCACCGACAGAUGAAGACCUUGUGAGAGAUUGUAAUUUGCCACAGUUUCUCUCUUUUGACUUUUUGAUUCUUCGAUUUCUCUAGUCUAUAUCUGUUUUCCAACUAUACUUAUCAUAAAAAGUGCUGGUUUUGAAUUUGUUCCAGG